This 447-nucleotide ribosomal RNA is filed under the name uncultured bacterium. RNAcentral's name for it is "bacterial SSU rRNA". It matches the Rfam family "Bacterial small subunit ribosomal RNA", at positions 329 to 793 of the family's 1533-position model. The record is from RNAcentral.
GUCCAGACUCCUACGGGAGGCAGCAGUGGGGAAUAUUGCACAAUGGGGGAAACCCUGAUGCAGCGACGCCGCGUGAGUGAGGAAGUAUUUCGGUAUGUAAAGCUCUAUCAGCAGGGAAGAAAAUGACGGUACCUGACUAAGAAGCCCCGGCUAACUACGUGCCAGCAGCCGCGGUAAUACGUAGGGGGCAAGCGUUAUCCGGAUUUACUGGGUGUAAAGGGAGCGUAGACGGCAUGGCAAGUCAGAUGUGAAAGCCCGGGGCUCAACCCCGGGACUGCAUUUGAAACUGUCAGGCUGGAGUGCAGGAGAGGUAAGUGGAAUUCCUAGUGUAGCGGUGAAAUGCGUAGAUAUUAGGAGGAACACCAGUGGCGAAGGCGGCUUACUGGACUGUAACUGACGUUGAGGCUCGAAAGCGUGGGGAGCAAACAGGAUUAGAUACCCGUGUAU